RNAcentral lists this long non-coding RNA (1636 nucleotides) under Homo sapiens (human). RNAcentral's name for it is "HSALNT0405435". Lineage: Eukaryota; Metazoa; Chordata; Mammalia; Primates; Hominidae. The record is from RNAcentral.
AUCAAGAUGGAGCAGGGUAUAGAGAAGCCAUUAGGGAUGAUACAGAACACCACCAAAGGGUUAGUAACGGUGGGGAACUGUUUGCACCCCGAAGCCUGAAAGAGUGAAGUAGGGUGGGAUUACCUGGAAAGAGAGAGAGAGACAGAAGGAGAAUGAGAUUGAGGGAAGGGCUGCCUGGCAGGGGAAGCUGACGCCUUCAGGCAAGUGAAGAAGCCAGCCCGCAGCAACUCUGCAGGGAAGAAUAUAGGGAAAUAAACGCCUUCAUCUCUCUCUUGUCCCACCCGCAGAGCUCCUUCUGGGAUUCUCUAUUGGCUGAACUCAGCCAGAAGCUGCCAAGGGAGACCCCCACAACUGGAUGCAGCCCACUGAAGUCAGCUUCCUGGGGUGCGUAGCUGAAGGUAGCAGGGAGCAAAAAGAAUCUGAAGGGGAAGUGAACAAUGUAGAGCGUAUCUGUGCUGAAGACGUAAGGAGAGAGUGGAGGUCAGAAGCUGGCAUGGUCCCUGGUGCAUGUAUCAGCCGCUAAAGCUGGAGUGGAUGAAUCAGAACUUUCCCCAUGGGAGCAUUUAUAAAAAGGGGACACCCAGCGCAGAAGAUGUUUUCCAGGGAGAUCUCGGGGAGCCCAACAAGCCAAGAAGAGCAGAGCAAAGCAUUCCAAGGAAGGACUCUAAGUCUGCAACCGAGCACACACGAGGGUAGCCUACGCAUGUACGUCUUGCAGUGAUGGCAAGGAGCAGGAGAAAGAAAGCCCAUCCAAACAAGCAUAUUGGAAGCCUAUGUAUCCCAUAAGCUGACAUCUUGUUGCCCAAAGCAUGUCAUGUGCGUGGUCCAGAGUCAGUGUUGAAGGGCUCUGCAAAAUCACAUGGUAAAGACUGUGGUUUCAGGGAGGAGUGAAGAUUUGUGCGCAUUGCUCCAAUUGACAACCAUGGCACUAGGCUCAGGCCACACUUCUUCCUAACAAGAGAGCAAGUCAAAGCGUGGUUAGUUAAAGUCCAUACAAAAACUCACUUUAACAGGCCUCCUCUGGAUUGAACAGCUGAUAUUAAGUCAUAAGGUACCACAUCAGAAAGAUACUGGGUAUCUUUGGUUCAGCAAUUCCAUCACCAGGGACUUUUUCAUCCUAAGGAAAUCACUGCACGGUGGACAAAGAUAUAUGCAUAAGGAUGCUCCUUCUGGCCAAAGACCAAAAACAUAACUGGCCAUCAGUAAAAGCCAACACAAGGAAAGACCAUGUGAAUACACAGCAAGAACGUGGUGCUCUGCAAGUCAGAAACAGACCCGUCAUCAGACACCAAAUCAGCCAGCACCUUGAUCUAGGAUUUCUGGCCUCCAAAACAGUGAGAAAAUAAAAUUCUGUUGUUUAAGCCAUGCAGCCUGUUGUAUUUCAUUAUGGCAGCCUGAGCAGAAUAAGACAGGUAUAUACAAAUGCAAAUUCUAUUAAGAAAUCUGUAUCUUUUACCCUAUUGAAGUAAGUUAUACCUCAAUUGAAGAAUAAAUAAAAGAGAAAGAAGGAGCAGCACAACCUUGUUUGUAUUCCCAACCUGGUGAGUGGGUGAUAUAGGUUGCCUCUCACUGUGCCCACUCAGCUGAUGAGAAAAGUGCAGCUUUGAGUGAAGAAGUGACAUGUGGCUAUGGUGGC